RNAcentral lists this ribosomal RNA (502 nucleotides) under uncultured bacterium. RNAcentral's name for it is "partial 16S ribosomal RNA". It matches the Rfam family "Bacterial small subunit ribosomal RNA", at positions 30 to 523 of the family's 1533-position model. The record is from RNAcentral.
AUUGAACGCUGGCGGCAGGCUUAACACAUGCAAGUCGAGCGGGGUGAUGGUGCUUGCACUAUCACUUAGCGGCGGACGGGUGAGUAAUGCUUAGGAAUCUGCCUAUUAGUGGGGGACAACAUCUCGAAAGGGAUGCUAAUACCGCAUACGUCCUACGGGAGAAAGCAGGGGAUCACUUGUGACCUUGCGCUAAUAGAUGAGCCUAAGUCGGAUUAGCUAGUUGGUGGGGUAAAGGCCUACCAAGGCGACGAUCUGUAGCGGGUCUGAGAGGAUGAUCCGCCACACUGGGACUGAGGCACGGCCCAGACUCCUACGGGAGGCAGCAGUGGGGAAUAUUGGACAAUGGGGGGAACCCUGAUCCAGCCAUGCCGCGUGUGUGAAGAGGGCCUUAUGGUUGUAAGCACUUUAAGCGAGGAGGAGGCUCUUUUGGUUAAUACCCAAGAUGAGUGGACGUUACUCGCAGAAUAAGCACCGGCUAACUCUGUGCCAGCCGCCGCGGUAA